UCACUUACCUGGACGGGGUCUAUGGCUGAACAAGAAGAGCCAUGGCCUAGGCACGUGACCUCCAUUGCACAAUAGGAGGGUCGUGUGACUAAGGUCGAUCCAAGUGGUUGUUCCUCCGUCAUUAUUUGUUCCUGUGGGGGAUUGCGUUCGCGCGGCGGCCCCUA
Molecule: small nuclear RNA, 164 nt
Filed under: Erythranthe guttata (spotted monkey flower)
Lineage: Eukaryota; Viridiplantae; Streptophyta; Magnoliopsida; Lamiales; Phrymaceae
Description: Mimulus guttatus (spotted monkey flower) U1 spliceosomal RNA
Rfam family: U1 spliceosomal RNA
About the family: U1 is a small nuclear RNA (snRNA) component of the spliceosome (involved in pre-mRNA splicing). Its 5' end forms complementary base pairs with the 5' splice junction, thus defining the 5' donor site of an intron.
Source: Rfam by way of RNAcentral